AUACGUAGGUGGCAAGCGUUGUCCGGAUUUAUUGGGCGUAAAGCGAGCGCAGGCGGUUCUUUAAGUCUGAUGUGAAAGCCCCCGGCUCAACCGGGGAGGGGCAUUGGAAACUGGAGAACUUGAGUGCAGAAGAGGAGAGGGGAAUUCCAUGUGUAGCGGUGAAAUGCGUAGAUAUAUGGAGGAACACCAGUGGCGAAGGCGGCUCGCUGGUCGGUAACUGACGCUGAGGCUCGAAAGCGUGGGGAGCAAACAGGAUUAGAUACCCUGGUAGUCCACGCCGUAAACGAUGAGUGCUAAGUGUUGGAGGGUUUCCGCCCUUCAGUGCUGCAGCUAACGCAUUAAGCACUCCGCCUGGGGAGUACGGCCGCAAGGCUGAAACUUAAAGGAAUUGACGGGG
This 397-nucleotide ribosomal RNA is filed under the name uncultured bacterium. RNAcentral's name for it is "partial 16S ribosomal RNA". It matches the Rfam family "Bacterial small subunit ribosomal RNA", at positions 523 to 918 of the family's 1533-position model. The record is from RNAcentral.